This 1113-nucleotide ribosomal RNA is filed under the name Triticum aestivum (bread wheat). RNAcentral's name for it is "partial small subunit ribosomal RNA". Lineage: Eukaryota; Viridiplantae; Streptophyta; Magnoliopsida; Poales; Poaceae. The record is from RNAcentral.
AUGGCGCCGCAGCACAACGUCCUGCUGGAUCUGUACCACGAGGCCGUGGCGGGGGGCUUGGCGCGGCGACUGCUGCUCUUCAUGCGCCUCCUCCUCGCGCCGCAGCCAGCAGCAGGCCCGGGCGACCUCGCCCCUCUUCAGCGCGCCGCCGAGCCCGAGCAGCAGGAGUCGGAGGCCGGGACAACCCUCCUCGCGGUCCUCUUCACAGCGGGGAUCCGCCGUCUCCCGCGAGCGCCUCCGCUCGCCGUCGACCUGGACGACACGCGCGCCGUGGAGGUGCUCGUCCGCGUCUUCAUCGAGAGAGUUCGUGCGGGGGUCCACGCGGGCGCGGGCGGGGUGGCGGUGGCGGACGCGCCUACGAUCCACGAGGCCGCGAUCAACAUCGACACGCUGAUCUUCAACAGCCUACUUCACCGGGCCCGCCGCGUCGCGCCGCCGCUCAGGGACAACUCGUUCGCCCUGCGCGUGCUGCUCCGGCUCCCUGCGCGCACCUUCGUCCGCUUGCUUCCGCCACCGGCCGAAGCCCCCGCCCUCGCCCCCGCCCCCGCGUCAGUCCUCGGUGUCGUCUUCUACGCGGCUCUCCGCCGCGUCGAUGCGGUCCUCCCGCUGGGCUCCGACGGCUUCCUCCGCGACUUCACCAACCUGAUCGGCCCCUUCAGCAGGCGUCUCUUUCCACCGCCCAGCCAGGACGACCACACGGUCUUCCUGCUCCCACCCCCGGCCCCGGCCCCGCUCGCCAUCGACCCCUGCCCCGCGCCGAUUGCCGGCGAGUUCUGGCGUGCGGCUGCUGCAGUGCGCGCAGCCAGGACCGACACCUCCCAGGAGCACAUCGUUCUGGAGCCUGACGCCAUCGACGAUGAGCUUGCGGCCAAGGUCGACGACACGUCUGUUGCUGCGGAGGGGAGCGGGAAGGUUAUCAUUCUUACCAGUGUUGAUGAUGCCCGGGAGAUGAUUCAGCGCCAGGAUCCGACCACGACGACUCCCAUGGUGACUGUUGACGUCCCGUCAGACCUCUCGUGCGACGAGGCAGACGCCAUCUUCUGCUACCUGAAGGUAUCCGGGGCUCUUACUGCUGUCUUACUUGGUCCCACAUUAUCACACAUGCUCGACUAG